RNAcentral lists this ribosomal RNA (496 nucleotides) under uncultured bacterium. RNAcentral describes it as "partial 16S ribosomal RNA". It matches the Rfam family "Bacterial small subunit ribosomal RNA", at positions 28 to 507 of the family's 1533-position model. The record is from RNAcentral.
GAUGAACGCUGGCGGCGUGCCUAAUACAUGCAAGUCGAGCGAACAGACGAGGAGCUUGCUCCUUUGACGUUAGCGGCGGACGGGUGAGUAACACGUAGGUAACCUACCUAUAGACUGGGAUAACUUCGGGAAACCGGAGCUAAUACCGGAUAAUAUUUCGAACCGCAUGGUUCGAUAGUGAAAGAUGGCUUUGCUAUCACUUAUAGAUGGACCUGCGCCGUAUUAGCUAGUUGGUAAGGUAACGGCUUACCAAGGCAACGAUACGUAGCCGACCUGAGAGGGUGAUCGGCCACACUGGAACUGAGACCCGGUCCAGACUCCUACGGGAGGCAGCAGUAGGGAAUCUUCCGCAAUGGGCGAAAGCCUGACGGAGCAACGCCGCGUGAGUGAUGAAGGUCUUCGGAUCGUAAAACUCUGUUAUUAGGGAAGAACAAACGUGUAAGUAACUGUGCACGUCUUGACGGUACCUAAUCAGAAAGCCACGGCUAACUACGUG